Bombus terrestris (buff-tailed bumblebee) is the source of this 1006-nucleotide long non-coding RNA. RefSeq lists it as uncharacterized. The transcript is spliced from 2 exons. The record is from RefSeq and is a predicted model, not a curated record. Lineage: Eukaryota; Metazoa; Arthropoda; Insecta; Hymenoptera; Apidae.
CAUUCUUCCACUUCGCUAUUCGAACAUUUUCCUUAUAACUUUACUUUCCGUUCCAUUGUUUCCCUAAGCGUUUGUCCGCCAAAUACACGGACACAACCUUUUGUUGCGGAACAUGAAAAACUGCCUACAUAUCAUCUUAUCCCAGUUUCAGUGGUUGUGAAUGAGAUUCUUCGCAAUAUUUUUUUCAUUCUCCACUGGAACUCGAUAUGGCACGCGCGGCGCAUCGCAAAUAGAACAAGUAGCUCUAAAAGGCAAAUUUCAAUUUACGUAACUCAGACGCGGCUGAGAAAUCAUCGAAGACACUUGCUGCGGGCGGAGUUAAUUGCGAACGCAACAACGGUGCCCGAUGAACGUAAGAAGGCGAAAGAAUUUAAUAGUGAGUAAGAAUCGAGACUUGAAGGAAGAAAACUUUCUGUAUAUCGUAGUCAUCGAUAGAAUAAUUUCAUCAAGAACUUCAUAAAAUCGCUUUCCUCACCGGAACUUCUUUGCGGCCUACGAUUUUGCACUGAGGACUACCGACCACACCAUACUGGUAGUUGCACGAGCAAUCUUUCUGGAGUUCUACAUUAACGAGUCCAUCGACGACUCUCCUCGCUGCUAUUUGGACGAAUUGUUUCUUCUGGUUCGGUUUGGCAUCCAAGAAGUUGUUAGAACUGAACGCUGCACCACCAGACUGCAAUAUGAUAUCAGGUAAAUGUUCGAUUCACUCAGCUUCCUACGUGUUUCUGUCUUUCGAAACGCUCACGAGCUUCGUAAUAAUGGAUGAGGAUCACUUGUUGAACACUUACGGAUACCGCGAAGUCAGCGCAGACGUCGUCGAUCGCCGGUGAGAGAUUGCUCUUCAUGUCCGUGUUUCCGGUAAGAGGCUUCUUCUUGCUGUCAGCGAACGUGUACACGCUGUCUUGGUCGUAUCCGACGAUAUUCUUCAGAGGUUUGCCCGAGACGAACAGCUCUUCAGGAUACGACACAUGGUAGUAGGUGAGUCCCAAAUCACGAUAUAUCUUGU